GGUGUGGACAGAACCCUCACCAGCACCUCUCAAGGGGCAGCCCCUCCAUUACGGCUCAGACAGCCAUGCCUUCCCCCGGAGAACUGCAGCCCCAGUGCAGGGCGGCCCCAGGCUGGUCUCGAAGACCCCAGCAGAAUUCUAAUUUCCCAUUUAUCUGUGCAGCUUCUCAGCGAUGUUAAAGGGGAAUGCUCCGCAGUUGGCUCCCAGGCUAAUUGGAUCUGGGCUCCUCUCUCUCUCCUGGGCAAGCAAGCCUCUGCCCCUCUCUGGAUGCCCACAUUCCCUCAUCUGCCAUGAUGAUGACGACGACAGCAACAACACACCCGUUGCUCACCCAGCAUUUCCCAGGCACCAGGCGCUCUUCUCAGUGUGACACGUGUCAGCUCUCCUCUGGUCCCCGCAGCAGCCCAGCGCGAGGGAAGUCAGGACUUGGAAGGUCCAGCGAUGGAGGCCCUGGACCACGGCCCCAAGGACGUGGUGACAGUGGAAGGAGUUCCAGGCUGGAAACCAGGGGACCUGGAUUUAAAUCUGUACUCAGGCCCAAACCCGCUGUGUGAUACUUUAUUUCUCUGAGAUCAAAGGCAAUGGAGAGAGUAAUAGUACCUACCUGAGGGGUGGUUGUACGGAAUAUGACAGGAACUGUAAACAGAGCACUUAUCACAGUGCCUGACACAUAGUAGGUGUUCAGUCCGGGCUUGUCACCGUUUCCCCGGGCAAAGUCCACACCAGCCUCCCAAGACUGCGGGAGCAGCACAUGGGAAAGCACCGCGUGCAACGCCCUCUCCUUUCAGAUGGAGAAACUGAGGCCCGGGGUUGCAACGAGUGAGUGGCAGGGCAGGACGCAGCCCCGGGUCUCCCAGCAGCCUCGCUGCCAGGCCGGGGUGAUGGUUCUCCUUCCAGUCUCCUUUCGCCCCGUGCGUCCCCAUCUGUCUGGCGGGGCGUCUCUCCCCUAGGAGGCCAGCUGGAGGGCUGACCCUGGCAGUCCUUUCUCGCCCAGCUGCUGGCAGGAACCAGCCUGGAUAAAUGCAAAGAGGCCCCUCUGGAGGCUGCUCCUGCCGCGUCCCCCCCCCUCCGUCCUAAUGUUAAUUUUGCCAGGGCCUUGAUAAAUCUUCCUGUCGCCUCCAUCCGCCCGAGACAUAGAUCUCAUCUUAUAGAGAGGUGACACUUCUGCCCUUUGGGACCAGCUAUCAAUUUCAGGCGGUGACCGAAGUGGAGAGCAAUGAAGAACCAGGCAGGCCCUUCUAACCCCUUCUGCCGCCUGAGCCUUCCCUCCACCCAGGGGAGCAGCCCUCCUGAGCAGCCAUCGCCUGUCCUUCAGAAGAGGUGCGGGCCCAGCCCUGGCUCUCAGCAUCGCUGCCACGCACACCUUCGGCCUGCCAGCCGGCACUUCCUCACCCGAGGCUUGCCCAGGCUUCCAGAACCGCCCGCUGCCCGCUGCCCGGCCGGAAGAGCCACGGAAUACUGUCCAGGGAGCAACUCUUACCUGCUGACCUUUGGGGGUGGACACCCUGAGCUGUGAGUUCUUCACCGGCUCCCAGAAUUCCCCAGUGGAGUUAAGCUCCAGUUGUUAAGGGGCCCCUCAUUGGCUGUCUUUCUGCCCCAUCACUUCCCCACCUGACUGCUGGUGCUUCCUGGGAGCGCCUCCCAGAUAAGCGAUUUGCCCUGGAGCCCUUUUCUGUGGGUCCCUUCUGCAGGAACCCGCACAAAGACACUCAGAAAACACUUUCUAGCAGCUCGUGAUGGGAAGCACUCUAGUCAGCAAUGGAGGUGCAGCAAGAGGUUUGGCGUGUGUGUUCCUUGCUCCUGGGUCAAUUUUCAUUCAAGCUGGAACACAUCUCUGGGAGGCCUUGUCCCAGUUGUACCGAUGAGGAAACAGAUUCUCAGAGAGGUGAAGUGACUUGCCCAAGGUCACACAGCCAGCAAACAAGAGUCACUUUUCAAACUCAGACAGCACACCAUCUCAUUCCCUGGACUCUCCCUCCUGGGUAGAGAGACAUGACCUGGAGGCAGGGUUCGCCUCCAGGUGUGAUCAUCAGCUCAGUAGAUCACACCUGGAGUCUUACUGCUGGGCAGCCUUCUGCAAGGUGCUAAGGACACCACCAUGAAAAGCUGCAGUUCCUGAUCUCCAAGGGCUGAGAUCGGGCGGGGGAGAUGGAUGCAGGAGAGACAGUAUGGCUGGGACCCCUCCCAGAAUGCACUGCAGCAUCUUUCUUACACUACUCUCUUCUUAGAAUCUUGGGAGCUUUGUGCUGGGAGGCAUCUGAGGGACUGUCUGCUUCAACACCCUUAUUUUAUAGAUGAGGCAGUUGAAGCCCCAAAGAGAUAGGGACUCCCUGGAGAUCAGACUCCAGGGCCCGGCUCUUGUCUUGGAAUUCUGCUGAGCAUCGCCCACCAUGCCCCCUAAGCUGUGCUUUGGUCUUGCCCUGCAACUCCCCAAGACAGCCAGAGGCCCCAUCAGGCUCAUAAGCAGUUCUCAAAACCCAGAAGCCUCCAAGUUAAAAAAACAAAACAAAA
Myotis daubentonii (Daubenton's bat) is the source of this 2511-nucleotide long non-coding RNA. RefSeq lists it as uncharacterized. The record is from RefSeq and is a predicted model, not a curated record. NCBI's taxonomy places the organism in Eukaryota, Metazoa, Chordata, Mammalia, Chiroptera, Vespertilionidae. The transcript is spliced from 3 exons.